AAUAUGGUACACGGGGGGCAACGCUGAUCCAGCCAUGCCGCGUGUGUGAAGAAGGUCAUGGAUUUGUAAAGUACUUUACGUUGGGAGGAAGGGCUUGAGGUUAAUAGUCUGAAGUUUUGACGUUACCAAAGGAACAAGCACCGCCUAACCCGGUGCCAGAAGCCGCGGUAAUACAGAGGGUGCAAGCGUUAAUCGGAAUUACUUGGUGUAAAGCGCGCGUAGGUGGUUCAGUAAGAUGGGUGUGAAAUCCCCGGGCUUAACCUGGGAACUGCUUUCAUAACUGCUGAGCUAGAGUACGGUAGAGGGUAGUGGAAUUUCCUGUGUAGCGGUGAAAUGCGUAGAUAUAGGAAGGAACACCAGCGGCGAAGGCGACUACCUGGACUGAUACUGACACUGAGGUACGAAAGCGUGGGGAGCAAAC
This 421-nucleotide ribosomal RNA is filed under the name uncultured bacterium. RNAcentral's name for it is "partial 16S ribosomal RNA". It matches the Rfam family "Bacterial small subunit ribosomal RNA", at positions 360 to 773 of the family's 1533-position model. The record is from RNAcentral.